RNAcentral lists this ribosomal RNA (166 nucleotides) under Oddoniodendron micranthum. RNAcentral describes it as "5.8S ribosomal RNA". It matches the Rfam family "5.8S ribosomal RNA". Rfam says of the family: 5.8S ribosomal RNA (5.8S rRNA) is a component of the large subunit of the eukaryotic ribosome. It is transcribed by RNA polymerase I as part of the 45S precursor that also contains 18S and 28S rRNA. Functionally, it is thought that 5.8S rRNA may be involved in ribosome translocation. Lineage: Eukaryota; Viridiplantae; Streptophyta; Magnoliopsida; Fabales; Fabaceae. The record is from RNAcentral.
AACGACUCUCGGCAACBGAUAUMUCGGCUCUCGCAUSGAUGAAGAACGUAGCGAARUGCGAUACUUGGUGUGAAUUGCAGAAUCCCGUGAACCAUCGAGUCUUUGAACGCAAGUUGCGCCCGAGGCCACCAGGCCGAGGGCACGUCUGGCUGGGUGUCACGCAUCG